Molecule: ribosomal RNA, 715 nt
Filed under: uncultured fungus
Lineage: Eukaryota; Fungi
Description: eukaryotic LSU rRNA
Rfam family: 5.8S ribosomal RNA (bases 282-435)
Source: RNAcentral
CUUGGUCAUUUAGAGGAAGUAAAAGUCGUAACAAGGUUUCCGUAGGUGAACCUGCGGAAGGAUCAUUAUUGAUUUUUAAAGAUGUGCUGGCACUCCUUCACCGGUUUGCAUGUGCACUCUGCAAAAUCUCCUUCUCUUACCCCACUGUGCACACCCAAGUAGACAAACAGUGUUGCAGAGCAAUCUGUGUAAUUCCUGAUUUGCCUACGUUUUUAUCAAACACCAAUAACAAUAUCAGAAUGAUCUAUACAGUAAGCUUUUAACAAGCUGAAAUUUAAUACAACUUUCAACAAUGGAUCUCUUGGUUCUCGCAUCGAUGAAGAACGCAGCGAAUUGCGAUAUGUAAUGUGAAUUGCAGAAUUCAGUGAAUCAUCGAAUCUUUGAACGCACCUUGCACCCUCUGGCAUUCCGGAGGGUAUGCCUGUUUGAGUGUCAUUAAUCUCUCAACACAAGAAACUUUGUGUUCUUGUGCUUGGAUGUUGAAGGUUUUGCUGGCGCAAACAACUGUCAGCUCCUUUUAAACGCAUUAGCAGAGCAGUAUGGGACUGGCCUCGGUUUGAUAAGAAACAUUAUCUAUGCUGUCGCUGGGUUUUCCUCUUUGUGCUCAGCUUCAAAUUGUCUUCGGACUGUCUCUUUGAGGCAACAAAAUCUCUAUUGAUCGACCUCAAAUCAGGUAGGACUACCCGCUGAACUUAAGCAUAUCAAUAAGCGGAGA